CCAGACAGGGCUGGAGGAGCAAUUGGAGGAGCCCAGCAGGCUGGACACAUGUGGAGAGUUGAUAUGGAAACUGAGCCCUCACACAUGGACUGAAUUCUGACAAGCAGAGGAUAAAGGCAGAACAACAUGACUGAAGGGAAGAUGCUUUUGUGAUAUAUCCCAGCAUGCUGAUGACCCCAAGGAGGACCACUGGAUACCUAGCAAGGAGCUGGCUGCAGCAUACCAUGAAUCCUCACAGCAACUUAAUGAGGUAGGUGUUACUUCAGAUAUUUAAGCCAAUUAUCCAUGGUGACAAUGGCUUAAAAAUUAUAGUAGUUGAAUUGAAAUUGGGAUAGUCAUUUCUGUAUAUGAUUUUCAUACUUUUCCUGCUACAUCUCACUAUGCCUGAAAAAAAAAAGUAUAUAUUGAGAACCUUUUUGGUAUGAAGCAUUGAAGACCAAUUGGUAAUACCCACAAAUAAUGAAGAAGACAUACAUGAAACCUUAACACUUGGCCUUAUGUCGAUUUUCUACUCAUCCACCUGGGACGUGUGACAAAAGUUUUCAGGAUUUCUGAGAAAUGUAAAAUAGGAAGAAAUUUCCUAAAAACACAAUGUAGUGGAAGGGAAACAUCUGAUGUAUCCUCCAGGUUUUGUUCUGUUUUGUUUUUGUAUGUACAUACUCAUUAUGUUACUGCUUAAAAGAGUUGGGAACUGAAUCAUGUCUAUAAUUUUUUUGAAAUGGGAAAGAAUUAAAUGCAAUGCACCCUUCCCUGUCAUUCCACUGAAGAAAUCUGAGCCCAUUCCACUUUUCUAGUUUGUCUCAGAGAGAAUUUGAUAAUGCCACAAGAUAAUAUAAGACAACAAAGAAAUGGGCCCAUUUGCAAAUCCCACCCAAGGUGAUCAAAGGUGUUUCAUUUUCUUUUGAUUGAUUUCUCAUCUGUUCCUAUUCUCUGUUUAAUUGGAAGGAAUUGGCUAAGAGUGCUUAGUGUCUAAACCUAUUAGAAUCAAUUCCAAAUUCUGUUUACCAAACUCAGAUGGGUACUCAGGCUCAUAGUCUUAAAAAAAAAAGCCUAGUAAGCCAUACUUCUAAUUAUGUUACCUGGAGUAAGUAGUUUUCCUAAAAUUGUGCCAAAGUAGAGUCUCACAAACAUUUAUGACAUGGCCUAGUAGAUGCGCAUAGAGGUUUUAAUGCCUCAAUGGCCUGAAAGAAUGAGAAGACCUCUCCAAGAGGCUAAUUUACCACCUGCCUAACACUGUGUCCAUGACAGUUGCACAGUCAGUGGAAAGAGAGCUAAAUUGCCUCUUUGCUCACAAUCUGUGGUCAAACUGAUUGCAUCCUGGGUUACAACGGCAUUGUGAAGAGAGAGGCUUAGAGGCUCUUAGAAUUUAAACUGUUAGUGAAAGUCAGCAUGUCCCAAAAUGACUGCUGGAUUGUGUGGAUUCUGAAUAAAAAUUCUAGCAAAUCUACAGGUUAUGGAUAAUGAGUAGAAGGUAGGUGAUGGGAAAAAUAUUGUCCUGUAGGUCUUCAUUUUCUAAUGCCAAAUGUGUGUCUUGGCUGACUGGGCAACAAGGUCAAUAGAACCCAGGGGCUACUGUCUUUGGAGUCAUUGAGAAUUGAUGAGGAAAGAGCCAGUAUCUCUCCUUUCAGAGCCCUAUGAGAAGCUCUCCCCAAACUCCUUCACUGUUCAUGUGGGCAGAUCAGUCAUGGCCACAGUAGAGGAGAUGUAUCAAGGUAGUUAAGCUUGUGAAUUCUGGAAUCAGAGAGCUUGGGUUGAAAUUCCAGCUGUGUGUCCUUGGGCAAGUCACUUAACCACUUUGUGACUAAGUUUUAUCAUCUGUAAAAUGGGGAUGGUAAUAGUACUCUAGUCAUAGACCUGUAUGUAAUAUGCUGAGAGGUAAAUGCUAUAUGGGUGCUCAACACUUUCAACACCUCACCCAGAUAAAGCUGCCCAAACUGAGAGCCAUAGGAAAUGUCAAGGUUCUGGCUGUAGCUCCUUGGCUUUUUCACUCUGCAUGCUGAAGACUGCUGUGACAACCACCAGCCUGAAGACUUUUUCAGCUCACAGGUUGGCCUGCCUGAAAGACAGGUCAGAAGUUCUGAAGAGGUAGUGUUCCUGAAAUAAACCCUAAGCCAAAGACAGAAAGGAUUAUGGUGGAUAUUCAGCUCCCUUAUCGUUCAGUUGAGAUGAAUCUGGGGUAUGUUCCAAACUGUCUCCUGAGGCACCCCAGUGGGAUUAAGCUCCAGUUACCCACAAUGGUAACUGUUUACUGGCUUUCUUUCCUUUCUUUCUUCCUUUCCUCACUACUCAAUUUCUUUACUGUUGUUUUCUGGGAUCACCUUGCAAAUAAACUACUUGCACUUGAAUCCUUUUAUCGAGAUCUGCUUCUGGGAGAACCCAAAUCACGGCAGGUUUCGUGGAUUUUUUGGAGUGUCAUAAAUAACUAUUGAAUUGGAUGCAUUAUUUUUAAAAAUUUCAUUGAGACAAUAUACACUCUUUGGAAACUUUAAAAGGCUAGUACAAGUUUUUAUGCUUCUGUGUUUGUUAUUGUUUUAGUGAGAAAAGAUCUGGACUUAGAGGACUCAAGUUGCUGCUAACUAGCUGUAUUUUUUUAAAUCUCUGUUUUAACAUAUGAUACUAUGUACACAUUAUUGUAAUAAUUAGUUAAUAUAUGUAAAAUGGUUCCAAAAGGCCACAUUUCACUGGGGUUUUGUUUUGGUUUUGAAAUUUUUGCAAGUUGACAUGGCUUCUUCAUUUCUCAUUACACAACAUAGAGGAUUCAUUAAUAUUAAAAAGAGAACUAAUUUGUCUAUAUUGUUAUGACCUAUCUUCGGUUAUUCAAUUUUGAUUAUCAUUUCCAUUUCAACUUUUCAACAAUCUUAUCUUCCUUGCCAUUUUGGCAGUCACCUGAAAACCUAGCCAAGGUUUGGAUGUCUUGUGGAAGCAGGGCAAUGGAUUUUGGAGCGGUGUAUUUUAGAUCCUGGUCUUUAAGCUCUAAGUUGUAAAUUGCAUGAGACAUUUCAAUUAAUAAUGUUAAGAAUUUUUUUUUUUCCAUUAUAUAAGCAAUUCAUGUACUGUUUGACUAAUGCUUAUGCCAAGUAUGAGUUUACCAAACUACUAAGCCACAGGCAAAUUCAAACCUUACAGCCUUUUCCUGUGAUUCAAAAAUAAUGAAAAUAAAUAUAUAUUCAUAAAAAGUAAAGGAACAUUACAUUGCUUGCUAUAUUAGCUAGUUCAAAAAGCACUUUUCAUUAAAACAUUUAACUACUCACUUUAAAAAAAUUAAAUUUAGCUGGGCAUAGUGGCAUGCCUCUGUAGUUUCUCCUACUUGGGAGGCUGAGGCAAGAAGACCACUUGAGGCAGGGAGUUUGAGACCAGCCUGGCGCAAGAUGGCAAGAUCCUGCCUCUAAAGAAAAAAGAAUUACAUUUAAAAAGUUAAAAAAAGAUGCAAAAUGGCAAUAUAAAUAAUAGGGGGAAUGGCUUAAUUGCUACCAUUGAAAGAGAACAGCAAUUGAUAUUUUGAUCUUCUUUCUAUUUUAUAUAUAGGUUUUGUUGUUUUUUUACUGGGUUGAUUUUAUCAUGUAAUGUGUAUUUCACCAUCAUGCACAUAUCUAAGUGUAUGUCUGGGGGGUUAAUCAGCAUGUAUGUCUCAGUGCAAAGCACUUUCUUCCAGGUUCUCAUUCGCCUUUUAGCUUCUCUUUUUCCAGUCUGGUUUCCUGCCCCUAGCCCCACCCCUACCUCCUAACUUCUCAGGUUGUCAUCCAUACAGCAACCAAGUGCCUGAGUUUUGUCAUUUUGGUACCAGAGCUACAGUCUGGAGACUCUGCUUCUUUAGGCAGCCUGACUGCUUCUCAUCCCUGGUGCUAUGAUGGCAACUUUGGGAUGUAUUUCUCCCUUCUUUCCUUCCCUUUCCCUUAGACAGGGAUUUAUGAAGUGAGGUUAUUAGGAAAGGGCAAGGUCCCUGUAGGGCCCUGCCAGCUCCACUCUUCCCUUUAAAAUUAGAUAUCCAUUUUUUAAAACUUAUAAUUUUAAAAAAUGGUUAUAAGCAUCAAUACAACAAGGUGACUGGUGGGGUAGAAUUUUAAAAUAUGAUGUAACCUCUUCUUGUUCUAGAGGUUAAGCCAGCAAGUCAGCUUAGGACAUAUUUUUCUAAUCGUGGGGGGAAAUGGCCUGGCUUACCUUAGUUACAUAACCAUGUGUGCAGCCUGUUCUGGCAUUUACAUGCCCCUCCCUGAAACAAAGCAGAGGAUUCUGGUUUGAGCAACGUUUUCCUUCCUUUCCUCCCUACCCUUCCUCACCCUACCUUUUGUGAAGGUUGUGAAUCAGUUUUUCAUAAGAAGUCUAGAAGCCUUGUGAGAGUGAAGAGACUCCAACCCCAGCUGUUUCUCCUUAAGAUUCAACAUUAGAGAAAUUUGGAAGGAACCACAGUGUUCCUGACUGAGACCUCUUGGUGGGAAAGGAACAUGACAAUGAUAGAUGAGAACAUACAGUGAGAGAUAGGAAGUUGGGGCUUCCCGAAGUUUCCAAAAGGAUCUAAGACAGGUCUGUCUUUGCCAGACCCUGUACUGAGCCUUCAUAUGGUCCCAGCCGUGGCCAGCCUAGUUCUGACAUCGCGACUGGGCAACAGUGGGAUGGCUCAGCGUUUGAAAUGAGUGGUGACCUCCAUGGUGGCCUCAGGAUCUAAAUGUACAAGGGCUUCACUGUAGCUGUGGACCCUUGUCCAGUGUCUGCAGACCCUGAAGUGACAAUGCCAACAGUGCUGCCUCUGACUCAUGGUUCUCUCACAUUUAGAAGAGUCAUCGAAGUCCUUUGGUCUACAUCAUUGUGAUUGAGGGGAUAUGGGAUACCAAACUGCCUGCCCACACAGGCUUCUGGGGUUUUACAUGAUUCAUUAGAAUAAUAAAAAGGAUGUGGCUACGUUUAUACCUCCAGGCUGGUGAAGUAAGUCACUAUUACUCAAGCAUUCUUCAUGUUAUUACAAACAUUAAUGCCUGCCUAGCCAUGUACUGAGAGAGUGUACUAUAUUUUAUUUUCUAAUUUCUCCUUUAUUGGAAAUUUAACUCUUUUGCAUGAGACAUUUCUGGUAGAACCUAGUAUUUGUUUUAGCACUAUUAGUGUAAUAGUAGUAGGCAUAUAUUUUCUAGUUGCUAAAAAUAUGCAGCUCCAAACAUUAUUUUUUGGGGUGUGAAGUUAACUUCCUUCUCUUGUAUUUGAGGGGCAUUAGGGGGUUUUGUCAAGAGUGGGGCAUGAGGGAGAGGAGGCUCAGAGAACUAAGAGUGUACACCAUGCUUGCUGGUCCCGGGUUCUCAAAGGCAUCUUUGACCAGAAGGGGGGUCAAGGAUAGUACUAUCUGUUGGGAGGAAGCCACACAUCCAGUGGAUGUAAAAGAGCAUGACUGUCCCCAGUGAGACCCUAGUAAUAAGCAGGGCAUGGCACAUGGUAGGUGCUUGGUACUUACUCUUUUUUAAUUUUUGGAUGGUUGAAUAUUUCCACUAAGCAUUCAGAGAACAGAUUAUAAACCUAUGUAAGCAUUCCAGAAUUAUAAGAUUAGACUUGCAUAAAGUUGCCAUGUAAUUUAAAAAAUGCUCUUUAACCUAUGGAAAGGUUUUUUUUUUCCAUGAAAAAAUUGGUAAUGAUAUGUACACUAAUCUAUAUAAAGAGCAUAAGAUUAUAAUACAAAUAAAUCCAUGUGAUUCCUUCCCGUGUGAUGUUAUGUUGUUUCAAGAUAAUAUUUUUCCCCAUAGUGGUUAUGUGAUCUUCUAUAUCUGGAUGUAAACAACAACAAUAACAACAAAAAGAAACAAAAAAA
Molecule: long non-coding RNA, 5788 nt
Organism: Homo sapiens (human)
Lineage: Eukaryota; Metazoa; Chordata; Mammalia; Primates; Hominidae
Exons: 4
Source: RefSeq, a predicted model, not a curated record